AGAGUGACCGAUCGAAGACAAGCAAUGCUGCUUGUAUUAGCAACAGCAUAAUCCUCAUACUCUGAUUGAAGUAACUGACGCUCAGCAGCUGCUAGAGCUAGAAGCUGUGACUCACGCCAUGCUUGCCUAAUAUCAAUUGACAUAACAUCAGGAUUGCUGCGGGCAGGUGGAAAAGAAUAAUUUGGUGAGAAGACAUGGUUGCAGAUUUCACAGGUGAUAUUGCCUUUUUUGUUGCACCAUCUCUGAAUGCACUUUCUAUGAGCAAACUUGAGGGUGCCAUUGCAAGCACAAGGAGCCUCCAUUGAGUCGACCUCAUCAUCCUCCUGGCAUAUCCUACAUUCCACAGUCUCUUUCAUCUUCUUUAAAGAGGAACACCCUUCUCCGUUGCUUUUUACAGGCAUAACAG
Molecule: unclassified non-coding RNA, 406 nt
Filed under: Hevea brasiliensis (rubber tree)
Lineage: Eukaryota; Viridiplantae; Streptophyta; Magnoliopsida; Malpighiales; Euphorbiaceae
Source: RNAcentral